GCCCCUUACGGAACUCCCAGACUGGUCAUACGCGGAUGGUCGCCCUGCUCCCCCAAUGAAAGGCCAGCUUCGGAGACAAGCUGAAAGGGAGAAGUUUGCAAGACGAGUUGUACUGCUGUCACAGGAAAUGGAUGCUGGAUUACAGGCAUGGCAGCUCAGGCAGCAGGAGAAGUUGCAGGAAGAAGAAAGGAAGCAGAAAAAUGCUCUUAAACCCAAAGGGGCUUCACUGAGGAGCCCACUUCCAACUCAAUAAAAAGUAACUCUUGCCACCUUUUCCCA
Molecule: RNA transcript, 279 nt
Organism: Propithecus coquereli (Coquerel's sifaka)
Lineage: Eukaryota; Metazoa; Chordata; Mammalia; Primates; Indriidae
Gene name: 39S ribosomal protein L52, mitochondrial pseudogene
Exons: 1
Source: RefSeq, a predicted model, not a curated record